UCAAGUGAAUAAGUGCAUCAGGUGGAUGCCUUGGCGAUGAUAGGCGACGAAGGACGUGUAAGCCUGCGAAAAGCGUGGGGGAGCUGGCAAUAAAGCUAUGAUCCCGCGAUGUCCGAAUGGGGAAACCCACUGCAUUCUGUGCAGUAUCCUAAGUUGAAUACAUAGACUUAGAGAAGCGAACCCGGAGAACUGAACCAUCUAAGUACCCGGAGGAAAAGAAAUCAACCGAGAUUCCGCAAGUAGUGGCGAGCGAACGCGGAGGAGCCUGUACGUAAUAACUGUCGAGAUAGAAGAACAAGCUGGGAAGCUUGACCAUAGUGGGUGAUAGUCCCGUAUUCGAAAUCUCAACGGUGGUACUAAGCGUACGAAAAGUAGGGCGGGACACGUGAAAUCCUGUCUGAAUAUGGGGGGACCAUCCUCCAAGGCUAAAUACUCAUCAUCGACCGAUAGUGAACCAGUACCGUGAGGGAAAGGCGAAAAGAACCCCGGGAGGGGAGUGAAAUAGAACCUGAAACCUGAUGCAUACAAACAGUGGGAGCACUCAUGUGGUGUGACUGCGUACCUUUUGUAUAAUGGGUCAACGACUUACAUUCAGUAGCGAGCUUAACCGAAUAGGGGAGGCGUAGGGAAACCGAGUCUUAAUAGGGCGAACAGUUGCUGGGUGUAGACCCGAAACCGAGUGAUCUAUCCAUGGCCAGGUUGAAGGUGCCGUAACAGGUACUGGAGGACCGAACCCACGCAUGUUGCAAAAUGCGGGGAUGAGCUGUGGAUAGGGGUGAAAGGCUAAACAAACUCGGAGAUAGCUGGUUCUCCCCGAAAACUAUUUAGGUAGUGCCUCGAGCAAGACACUGAUGGGGGUAAAGCACUGUUAUGGCUAGGGGGUUAUUGCAACUUACCAACCCAUGGCAAACUAAGAAUACCAUCAAGUGGUUCCUCGGGAGACAGACAGCGGGUGCUAACGUCCGUUGUCAAGAGGGAAACAACCCAGACCGCCAGCUAAGGUCCCAAAUGAUAGAUUAAGUGGUAAACGAAGUGGGAAGGCCCAGACAGCCAGGAUGUUGGCUUAGAAGCAGCCAUCAUUUAAAGAAAGCGUAAUAGCUCACUGGUCGAGUCGUCCUGCGCGGAAGAUGUAACGGGGCUCAAAUCUAUAACCGAAGCUGCGGAUGCUAGUUUACUAGCAUGGUAGGGGAGCGUUCUGUAGGCCGAUGAAGGUGCAUUGUAAAGUGUGCUGGAGGUAUCAGAAGUGCGAAUGUUGACAUGAGUAGCGAUAAAGCGGGUGAAAAGCCCGCUCGCCGAAAGCCCAAGGUUUCCUACGCAACGUUCAUCGGCGUAGGGUGAGUCGGCCCCUAAGGCGAGGCAGAAAUGCGUAGUCGAUGGGAAACAGGUUAAUAUUCCUGUACUUGAUUCAAAUGCGAUGUGGGGACGGAGAAGGUUAGGUUAGCAAGCUGUUGGAAUAGCUUGUUUAAGCCGGUAGGUGGAAGACUUAGGCAAAUCCGGGUCUUCUUAACACCGAGAAGUGACGACGAGUGUUUACGGACAUGAAGUAACUGAUACCACGCUUCCAGGAAAAGCCACUAAGCUUCAGUUUGAAUCGAACCGUACCGCAAACCGACACAGGUGGGCAGGAUGAGAAUUCUAAGGCGCUUGAGAGAACUCGGGAGAAGGAACUCGGCAAAUUGAUACCGUAACUUCGGGAGAAGGUAUGCCCUCUAAUGUAAAGGACUUGCUCCGGAAGCAUCUGAGGGUCGCAGAGAAUCGGUGGCUGCGACUGUUUAUUAAAAACACAGCACUCUGCAAACACGAAAGUGGACGUAUAGGGUGUGACGCCUGCCCGGUGCUGGAAGGUUAAUUGAAGAUGUGAGAGCAUCGGAUCGAAGCCCCAGUAAACGGCGGCCGUAACUAUAACGGUCCUAAGGUAGCGAAAUUCCUUGUCGGGUAAGUUCCGACCCGCACGAAUGGCGUAACGAUGGCCACACUGUCUCCUCCCGAGACUCAGCGAAGUUG
This 2004-nucleotide ribosomal RNA is filed under the name human metagenome. Its description in RNAcentral is "bacterial LSU rRNA". It matches the Rfam family "Bacterial large subunit ribosomal RNA", at positions 3 to 2044 of the family's 2925-position model. The record is from RNAcentral.